RNAcentral lists this ribosomal RNA (421 nucleotides) under uncultured bacterium. RNAcentral's name for it is "bacterial SSU rRNA". It matches the Rfam family "Bacterial small subunit ribosomal RNA", at positions 355 to 774 of the family's 1533-position model. The record is from RNAcentral.
UAAGGAAUAUUGGUCAAUGGACGCAAGUCUGAACCAGCCAUGCCGCGUGAAGGAUGAAGGUCCUCUGGAUUGUAAACUUCUUUUAUCUGGGACGAAAACGGGAUUUUUAUCUCAAUUGACGGUACCAGAGGAAUAAGCACCGGCUAACUCCGUGCCAGCAGCCGCGGUAAUACGGAGGGUGCGAGCGUUAUCCGGAUUUACUGGGUUUAAAGGGUGCGUAGGUGGGCUUAUAAGUCAGUGGUGAAAUCUCCGAGCUUAACUUGGGAACUGCCGUUGAUACUAUAGGUCUUGAAUUAUCUGGAGGUAAGCGGAAUAUGUCAUGUAGCGGUGAAAUGCUUAGAUAUGACAUAGAACACCAAUUGCGAAGGCAGCUUACUACAUAUAAAUUGACGCUGAGGCACGAAAGCGUGGGGAUCAAACA